This 253-nucleotide ribosomal RNA is filed under the name uncultured bacterium. Its description in RNAcentral is "partial 16S ribosomal RNA". It matches the Rfam family "Bacterial small subunit ribosomal RNA", at positions 524 to 776 of the family's 1533-position model. The record is from RNAcentral.
UACGUAGGCAGCGAGCGUUGUUCGGAGUUACUGGGCGUAAAGGGCGCGUAGGCGGGCUGGUAAGUCGGCCGUGAAAUCCCUCGGCUCAACCGAGGAACGUCGAUCGAUACUGCUGUUCUUGAGGAUUGCAGAGGAGACUGGAAUUCCCGGUGUAGCGGUGAAAUGUGUAGAGAUCGGGAGGAACACCGGUGGCGAAGGCGGGUCUCUGGGCAAUACCUGACGCUGAGGCGCGAAAGCGUGGGGAGCAAACGGG